This 468-nucleotide ribosomal RNA is filed under the name uncultured bacterium. RNAcentral describes it as "partial 16S ribosomal RNA". It matches the Rfam family "Bacterial small subunit ribosomal RNA", at positions 28 to 507 of the family's 1533-position model. The record is from RNAcentral.
GACGAACGCUGGCGGCGUGCUUAACACAUGCAAGUCGAACGGAAAGGCCCUGCUUUUGUGGGGUGCUCGAGUGGCGAACGGGUGAGUAACACGUGAGUAACCUGCCCUUGUCUUUGGGAUAACUUCAGGAAACUGGGGCUAAUACCGGAUAGGAGCUCCUGCUGCAUGGUGGGCGUUGGAAAGUUUCGGCGGUUGGGGAUGGACUCGCGGCUUAUCAGCUUGUUGGUGGGGUAGUGGCUUACCAAGGCUUUGACGGGUAGCCGGCCUGAGAGGGUGACCGGCGACAAUGGGACUAAGGUACGGCGCAGUCGCCUACGGGAGGCAGCAGGGGGGAAUAUUGCACAAUGGGCGGAAGCCUGAGGCGGCAACGCCGCGUGCGGGAUGACGUCCUUCUGGUUGUGAACAGCUGUCGCAUGAGACGAAGCGGGAGUGACGGUAAUGGGUAAAGAAGCACCGGCUAACUACGUG